GCUCAGGCGNCGAUAGUUAUCUGGUCUGAGAGGAUGAUCAGCCACACUGGAACUGAGACACGGNCCAGACUCCUACGGGAGGCAGCAGUGGGGAAUUUUCCGCAAUGGGCGAAAGCCUGACGGAGCAANNCCGCGUGAGGGAUGAANGCCUNCUGGGCUGUNAACCUCUUUUUUCAAGGAAGAAAAUCUGACAGUACUUGAUGAAUAAUCCACGGCGUAAUUCCUUGCCACCAGCCGCGGCUAAUACGANGAGNGGANNCCGUUAUCCUCCAAUUAUUGUUGCGUANAAGNCGUCC
RNAcentral lists this ribosomal RNA (296 nucleotides) under uncultured cyanobacterium. RNAcentral's name for it is "partial 16S ribosomal RNA". It matches the Rfam family "Bacterial small subunit ribosomal RNA", at positions 267 to 546 of the family's 1533-position model. Lineage: Bacteria; Bacillati; Cyanobacteriota. The record is from RNAcentral.